GAGGGAGAAGCCCUUCUUACGUCCUCCACAUGUGGCCAUGCUGGAGAUGGUACCUGAGCCGCAGCACAGCAGCUGGUGUGACAGCAGCCCAUCUCACUGACCCUUCCGUGGCUUCAAGAGAGAAGACACAGGAUAUUGAGAAGAAACUUUAGAGAAAACAUGGAGAACAUAAAGGAAUAUGUGCUGCAGUCUUGAGGUUGUGAAUAUAAAAGGCAAAGUCCAGCCUGUGUUUAGUGGGGUCACCAUCUCCCUGUCUGGUUGCCCAAGAUUAACUCCGCUGAGAUGUCUACACAAUAUAUGACCUUGAAGUCAGAAGACCUGGACUCUGGAGUGGCUACUUCCCUCUAGAUGCAACUGUCCUGGAGAAUUUUCUAGUUUAAUCUCAUUUAUGCAUCUGUACUCUUUGGCUGGAGAGCAUGUAUUUUAUAUAUUCUUUGUUCAUUGAUCAACUUGUACCUGAGACUAUAUUGUUUAUAAAGGAUAGAAUUUUUGACCCAAGGCUCUUGAAAGCUGACCACUCUAAGGUCAAGGGUAGAGGCAAUAGCAUUAAUACAAAGAAAAACAUUUCCUGAAUAAUCCUCCGACUGUAGAUUCUCCGACUGUACAGUGAUACAUGUUGAAAAAAGUAUCAGGUUUUGAAUCUUGAAAAUCAAAGAUUGUGUCUUUCUCAUAUUUUUGAGUCUAUUUCUCUUUUUGAAUAAGGUAACACUAGUUUAUAAAAGAUAUUUAUUAACUCAUUUUUGUAGCUGAGUAUUCUAUUGUUUAAACUAAUGUUAUAAUAUUGCUGAUAUGAUUUUUAAGCAAUACAUUAAUGAACAUUAAAUGUUAUAUGUAAUUCAAUAAGACAAAAGAACACAUAAAAUAAUCACAUAGAAGGCCUAGGCUUUGAGAAAGGAAGACAGAAAUUCUGUCUGGCAGGAAGAGGAGUAGGUAAUCCCUGCAUUUCCAGGUGUAAAGGGGACCUACUGGUGUUCCAUGUUCGCAGUGAUCUGGCCUCCUGUGAAAUCAUUUCUCUGACAGGGACUCCAGCUUUAUCACACACAAGAUGGUGCACAGAUGAAAGACUCUGCAGUCUGUUGACUCUAAAAUACUGCAUUCAUUGUAAAGAAAGUCUUACUCACAACAGCUCCAAGCUCCAGGUCACAUGGAAUAGAUCUCCAUCUGUGACCUGCAGGGAGCCAGAAUGUGCAUGGUGGGGCAAGAAAUAAGAUAAAACUCAUUAUUUUCAAGGUAUCUGUCCCCUGAUAGUCAGGGUCACAUGUGACUUACAUGCUGCACUUAUUUUUAAGGUGUGGCUACACAUGUCACCUGUAUUCUGCCCCAUGCUCUUGGCAGAGAACGCUUGUCACAAAAAAUCUGACCCACCAUGAAGUGUUAGCAUGUCAUUAAUAUGAACCAGUGCAGAUACCUCUUGUUUUGUAAUGCUACUUUAUUUAUAUAAUCCUGGUGCUUGACAGAUAUCAGUCCAUCUCUGGCUAGAGAGAGUCCUAAAUAAAACUAACAACUCUGUGCAGAAGUAUUCAGAGUAGAAGAAUCCAGGUUCCUGUGUCUGGUAAGAUCUGUUCCCGAACUGGAUCCACUUCCCACAAAUCAACAGGCUUAAUGCACCCCCUUCUCUUGCUGACAGCUCUUGCCCACCAGGGAUUCUCUUAAAAUGUUCAAACUACAAAGGGGUCUGCUUUCACGGUUUCUCCUUUUGCCGUCCUUGAUUCUGCUUAAUCUGAGGACAGCUUGCUGCUCUUCAGGCAACCAGCUGCUAGAGAGUGGACCCGAGGAAAGAACUGCCAGGUCAAGCCAUGCUGCUUACAUACACUUCACAGAAACAAAAGUUCCUUCCCGAGGGAGGCUGGUGAAGUCAUCAUUUCAUAACUAGUAUCCACCAUGGUCGAGAAAAAGAGCCACUCCUCAGCGCACACACGCAGGGCGCUUCAGCGCCUUCUCCUUCCUUAGCCUCAAAGCUGGAUCUUUACUGUGGACAGGAAACAGCUCCCUGCUGAUUUCCAGAGCAGCUGCCUCUCUCAUGUCCCUCCUCCUUGUCAUUGCAAGCCCAGGCCCCUCUGUCUGGUGUC
Molecule: long non-coding RNA, 2069 nt
Organism: Alexandromys fortis (reed vole)
Lineage: Eukaryota; Metazoa; Chordata; Mammalia; Rodentia; Cricetidae
Exons: 3
Source: RefSeq, a predicted model, not a curated record